AAUAACCUUCUGUGGCGUAAUUUUAAAGCCUAUAAUAUUAAUUCAGGGGACUGUCCCUGGUGGUGGUGUGUUAUGCUUAGCUAUGUCUAAGAAACCUAAAACUAUCAUAUGGUCGCCCACUUAAAGCAAAGGCUUUAAGAAAACCACAGAAGGUAUUUU
RNAcentral lists this non-coding RNA (159 nucleotides) under Pseudobdellovibrionaceae bacterium. Its description in RNAcentral is "Bdellovibrionaceae bacterium (sponge metagenome) 6S RNA". It matches the Rfam family "6S / SsrS RNA". From Rfam's summary of the family: E. coli 6S RNA was the first non coding RNA to be sequenced, but its function was unknown until recently. It consists of 184 nucleotides that fold into an extended hairpin structure with a large single-stranded internal bulge. The 6S RNA specifically associates with RNA polymerase holoenzyme containing the sigma70 specificity factor. Lineage: Bacteria; Pseudomonadati; Bdellovibrionota; Bdellovibrionia; Bdellovibrionales; Pseudobdellovibrionaceae. The record is from RNAcentral.